AAUGGUCGAUGUUUUCUUAUUUGCAUAAACAUAUAAAAUAGCAUGUGGAUACAAUAUUAUAAGAAAUUUGUUAACAAAUAAUAUAAAUAAAGUUUUCAUUUGAGUGAGGAGUUGUUCAGUUGGUGUAUGCCAUGGAUCGAUUCCCCUCAAACACGAAAUCAUUAGAUAUUUCUAUUUGGCCAGGGGUUUUCACAUGGUAUUCCCCGGGGCCUAGAGGGAUUACGGCCUAAGGCCCGAACCUCCUGAUAAUCAAAAAAAGAAAAAGAAAAAAAAGUUUUAGAAUGUAGAGAGAUUAUUGUUUACUUGAUUGAAUCACUUCUCUUUCAGUUCACAUGACCUUUACAAUGACCCCUAAGCUAAGGAGAGUAGUAAAACAAUGUAACUGUCACUACUCACGACCUCUAACUAAUGUUUGAC
RNAcentral lists this long non-coding RNA (417 nucleotides) under Capsella rubella. Its description in RNAcentral is "long non-coding RNA (CRUB_LNC003980)". Lineage: Eukaryota; Viridiplantae; Streptophyta; Magnoliopsida; Brassicales; Brassicaceae. The record is from RNAcentral.